Poecilia latipinna (sailfin molly) is the source of this 909-nucleotide long non-coding RNA. RefSeq lists it as uncharacterized. Lineage: Eukaryota; Metazoa; Chordata; Actinopteri; Cyprinodontiformes; Poeciliidae. The transcript is spliced from 4 exons. The record is from RefSeq and is a predicted model, not a curated record.
AGGUUUGCUGUGGUUAUGCGUCACUGUGGCCUUUAUAGUGACUGUUUCUGUGUUCAUUGUGCUGAAGAGAACCAAAGGGAACAGAAUCCAACAAAAGUCAAAUGAUGUUGAUCCUGACGUUUCCUACGCCUCCAUCAGCUUUAAGAAACCCAGCAGCAGCAGGAUUAAAAGUGAUGAUGAAGGAGAUGCAGUGACAUACAGCACAGUGAAAACUCCCUCCACUGAUCCCAGCAGCUUCUAAGCUUCAAUCAAGACGCCAAACAAACCAGGCUGAACCCGGCAAGUCAUAUGAACAUAUCUGAAAUAUUAAAUAUGCUAUUUUGUGAAAAGGAACAAAUUAUUAUUACUACAUUUGACUCUCAGUGUUUGAUUUAGGGACACAAACAUCCUGAAAUACAUCAGACUUCUUCUAGAAACUCUUAUUACUGCCUAUUUUAGUAAUUCAAACUCCAAAUAUACUUUUAUAUCCACUACCAGAACAGCUAACAUCCAGUCAGUCUUCUUUACCUCCACUGUUCAGUUUACAGCCAAUCAGCAUUAAAUAAAAUGAACAGUGCUCCUGGAUUAUAGCAUUAAGCCAAAGUAUUUCAGCUUCCCACGCUGCAUUUUUAGAAAUGCUCAAUUUUAUAUGUGUUCUGUAAAAACAAUCUGCAAAUAGGCAAUUUUUAUAAGAACAAUUUGGAGUCAAUCCACAGAAAAAUCUACAAAUACAGAACCAUAAAUAGUCAAGAUCCACGGUAAAACAAUGUAUCACAUUUUGAUGGUUCAGCUGAAUUAUUGUUUGUAUGAAUUUUAUUUGUUAUUAUUUUUGUAUGAUAGAUUUUAUGUCUUUAUCCUGUUUUCCAAUGUCAAAUUGUUGUCAUUAACAUUAUUAUUAUUUGAUAUUUAAAUUCUUUGGACUGUUAACUG